RNAcentral lists this ribosomal RNA (352 nucleotides) under uncultured bacterium. RNAcentral describes it as "partial 16S ribosomal RNA". It matches the Rfam family "Bacterial small subunit ribosomal RNA", at positions 338 to 682 of the family's 1533-position model. The record is from RNAcentral.
CCUACGGGAGGCAGCAGUAGGGAAUCUUCCACAAUGGGCGAAAGCCUGAUGGAGCAACGCCGCGUGGGUGAAGAAGGUCUUCGGAUCGUAAAACCCUGUUGUUAGAGAAGAAAGUGCGUGAGAGUAACUGUUCACGUGUCGACGGUAUCUAACCAGAAAGCCACGGCUAACUACGUGCCAGCAGCCGCGGUAAUACGUAGGUGGCAAGCGUUAUCCGGAUUUAUUGGGCGUAAAGGGAACGCAGGCGGUCUUUUAAGUCUGAUGUUAACGCCUUCGGCUUAACCGGAGUAGUGCAUUGGACACUGGUAGACUUGAGUGCAGCAGAGGGUAGUGGAACUCCAUGUGUAGCGGU